UGAUAUGCUGUUGUUCUACGGUGAUCA
RNAcentral lists this non-coding RNA (27 nucleotides) under Bombyx mori (domestic silkworm). Lineage: Eukaryota; Metazoa; Arthropoda; Insecta; Lepidoptera; Bombycidae. The record is from RNAcentral.